GGCUCAGAGACUGAUCCAGAGCCCACUGAAAUCCAUGGGAAUCUUUCAUUGACUUCAGAGGGGUUUAGAUCAAGCCCUUA
Molecule: microRNA precursor, 80 nt
Filed under: Pelodiscus sinensis (Chinese soft-shelled turtle)
Lineage: Eukaryota; Metazoa; Chordata; Testudines; Trionychidae
Description: miRNA (ENSPSIG00000019448.1)
Source: RNAcentral